GACGAACGCUGGCGGCGUGCUUAACACAUGCAAGUCGAACGGAAAGGCCCUGCUGGCAGGGUACUAGAGGGGACAGGGGGCGUGUGACACGGGUAUGCUGCGCCCUGCACUUCGGGAUGAGCGGGAAAGUCGGGGUACUAUCGCGGAUAGGUCCUAGCUCCAGUGUGUGGGUUGGAAAGAUUUUGCGGUGUUGGAUGAGCUCGCGGCCUAUCAGCUUGUUGGUGGGGUAAUGGCGUACCAAGGCGGCGACGGGUAGCCGGCCUGAGAGGGUGACCGGCCGCAUUGGGACUGAGAUACGGCCCAGACGCCGACGGGAGGCAGCAGGGGGGAAUAUUGCACAAUGGGCGCAAGCCUGAUGCAGCAACGCCGCGUGGUGGAUGACGGCCUUCGGGUGGUAAACAACUUGCAGCAGGGACGAAGCUUGUUGUGACGGUACCUAAAGAAGAAGCACCGGCUAACUACGUG
This 465-nucleotide ribosomal RNA is filed under the name uncultured bacterium. Its description in RNAcentral is "partial 16S ribosomal RNA". It matches the Rfam family "Bacterial small subunit ribosomal RNA", at positions 28 to 507 of the family's 1533-position model. The record is from RNAcentral.